GCACCCAUUAGUAAUCAACUUACACAACCAACUCCCCUCCUGCACUCACUUGUUCCUGGCUGUUGUGACCUUGUGUAACCCUCGAUGUUCUUCCGCUCCGUGCUCCGCACUUGUGUAGUUUCUAACAAUUCUUCCACAUAGCUCCUUACAUUCUCCCGCUCUGUGUUCCGCACUCGUGUAGUCUCUAACAAUUCUUCCGCAUAGCUCUCAAUGAUUCCCCCACCCCACAUUCCACGCUCGCAUAGCUUCUAACAAUUCUUACACAUACCCCUUAAUGUUCUUCUGCUCUGCACUCCACUGUGGAGCAGCUUCUGAUAUUCUUCCACCCCGAACUUUCCCCUAUAAGAACCCCCUUCGUACGACCUUUUCUUCUGAUUUCUUUUCUCUUUCUUUCCUUAAUCAAUUCGUAAUCUGUAAUUAGGAUAGUACCAAAUCGU
RNAcentral lists this small RNA (437 nucleotides) under Histoplasma ohiense. RNAcentral's name for it is "hypothetical lncRNA". Lineage: Eukaryota; Fungi; Ascomycota; Eurotiomycetes; Onygenales; Ajellomycetaceae. The record is from RNAcentral.